GACGAACGCUGGCGGCGUGCUUAACACAUGCAAGUCGAACGGAAAGGCCCCUUUGGGGGUACUCGAGUGACGAACGGGUGAGUAACACGUGGGUAACCUGCCCUUGACUUCGGGAUAACUUCAGGAAACUGGGGCUAAUACCGGAUAGGAAUCUUUGCUGCAUGGUGUGGGUUGGAAAGCUUCUGCGGUUUUGGAUGGAUUCGCGGCAUAUCAGCUUUUUUGUUGGGUAGUGGCUUACCAAGGCUGUGACGGGUAGGCGGCCUGAGGGGGCGAACGGCCACAUUGGGACUGAGAUACGGCACAGACUCCUACGGGACGCAGCAGUGGAGAAUAUUGCACAAUGGGCGGAGGCCUGAUGCAGCAACGCCGCGUGCGGGAUGACGGCCUUCGGGUUGUAAACCGCUUUCAGCAGGGGCGAAGCUUGUGGUGACGGUACCUGCAGAAGAAGCACCGGCUAACUACGUG
RNAcentral lists this ribosomal RNA (465 nucleotides) under uncultured bacterium. RNAcentral's name for it is "partial 16S ribosomal RNA". It matches the Rfam family "Bacterial small subunit ribosomal RNA", at positions 28 to 507 of the family's 1533-position model. The record is from RNAcentral.